CAAUUUCAUGGUCCACUGAACAUAGAAAAUGAAAGUGCGAAGUUCAGGUUAAAGUUUUUGGUCAAGGUAGUUUUUGAUGAAGUUAAAGUCACAUCUACUUGAAACUUAGUACACAUGUUCCCUAUGAUAUGAUCUUUCUAAUUUUAAUUCCAAAUUAAAUUUUUGACCCCAAUUUCACGGUCCAUUGAACAUGGAAAAUUAUAGUGCGAGUGGGGCAUCCGUGUACUAUG
RNAcentral lists this long non-coding RNA (230 nucleotides) under Mytilus galloprovincialis (Mediterranean mussel). The record is from RNAcentral. Lineage: Eukaryota; Metazoa; Mollusca; Bivalvia; Mytilida; Mytilidae.